UCGAUCAGCUCACUUCCUGUUUCAAGAAAACACAUUCUAUUGGCUACACAGACACACACGGUUGUACCUGUAGGAAGCGUGUGACGUCCGCAAUGACGUUCCUGAAGACAUAGUCGUCUUUCUGACAGUCGAACCAGCCAAGCUUGGUGAUCCUGGAGGAGACAAACACAAGGAGAGAAUAACUCACAUGGAAGACAGAGGAAGAGAGAGGAUGAGAGGGGAGAGGAGAGAGGUUUACCUGGAGUACAGCUGGAUCAGAGCCUGGGUUCAAAUCAACCCAAGAUGAACACUGAAGAUGGAACAAGGUGCAUGACAAGGUGGCCCAGAGGAAGCCAGCUGUUCUCAACCACUACAUUGCCCCAUUCUUCCAAGAGCUCACAGAGUUUGAAUGAAGACCUCUGGUGAGGGGUGAGAAGAGCUGACAAAUCCAAACUGAGGAUGAUUGUUCCGGAGCCCCAUGAGGAACACCUGAAACUGUGCUGACUUCUCUCUUCUGUCCAAACGGUCUCGUUGUAUGUUUCACUGCCUCUUACCCCAAAUAGAGUUGCCUCUGAUAGAUCUAGGAUUGUACCAUAUCCCAAUUUUAACUCCUUCUCCCCCCCUUGUCUCUCCCUCCACAGCACACCCCAAAUAUAAUUUUUAAAUUAGUGUGGUAAUGAUGCUCUUAUUUAGUUACACGUGUUAACUGUUGUUACUUCUAUUGCCAAUUCUGUUGUUAAUU
Long non-coding RNA from Salvelinus namaycush (lake trout), 721 nucleotides. RefSeq lists it as uncharacterized. Lineage: Eukaryota; Metazoa; Chordata; Actinopteri; Salmoniformes; Salmonidae. The transcript has 3 exons. The record is from RefSeq and is a predicted model, not a curated record.